This 369-nucleotide ribosomal RNA is filed under the name uncultured fungus. RNAcentral describes it as "eukaryotic LSU rRNA". It matches the Rfam family "Eukaryotic large subunit ribosomal RNA", at positions 40 to 398 of the family's 3401-position model. The record is from RNAcentral. Lineage: Eukaryota; Fungi.
AUAUCAAUAAGCGGAGGAAAAGAAACCAACAGGGAUUGCCUCAGUAACGGCGAGUGAAGCGGCAACAGCUCAAAUUUGAAAUCUGGCCUCUUUAGGGUCCGAGUUGUAAUUUGUAGAGGAUGCUUCGGGUGUCGGCUCCGGUCUAAGUUCCUUGGAACAGGACGUCAUAGAGGGUGAGAAUCCCGUAUGUGACUCGGCGGCCUUCGCCAGUGUGAAGCUCCUUUCGACGAGUCGAGUUGUUUGGGAAUGCAGCUCUAAAUGGGAUGGUAAAUUUCAUUCUAAAGCUAAAUACUUGGCCAGAGACCGAUAGCGCACAAGUAGAGUGAUCGAAAGAUGAAAAGCACUUUGGAAAGAGAGUCAAACAAGUAC